CCUACGGGAGGCAGCAGGGAGGAAUAUUGGUCAAUGGGCGCGAGCCUGAACCAGCCAAGUAGCGUGAAGGAUGAAGGCCCUACGGGUUGUAAACGUCGUGUAUAAAGGAAGAAAGUGAGGCACGUGUGCCGUGUUGUAGGUACGUUAGGAAUAAGGAUCGGCUAACUCCGUGCCAGCAGCCGCGGUAAUACGGAGGAUCCGAGCGUUAUACGGAUUUAGUGGGUUUAAAGGGAGCGUAGAUGGGUUGUUAAGUCAGUGUUGAAAGUUUGCGGCUCAACCGGAAACUUGCAAUUGAUACGGGCAGUCUUGCGUACAGUUGCGGUCGGCGGUAUUCGUGUUGUAGCGG
RNAcentral lists this ribosomal RNA (346 nucleotides) under uncultured bacterium. RNAcentral describes it as "partial 16S ribosomal RNA". It matches the Rfam family "Bacterial small subunit ribosomal RNA", at positions 338 to 681 of the family's 1533-position model. The record is from RNAcentral.